UGGUGGCUUUUAGGGCUCAAG
Molecule: microRNA, 21 nt
Filed under: Hevea brasiliensis (rubber tree)
Lineage: Eukaryota; Viridiplantae; Streptophyta; Magnoliopsida; Malpighiales; Euphorbiaceae
Description: hbr-miR6175
Source: miRBase by way of RNAcentral